RNAcentral lists this transfer RNA (68 nucleotides) under Euphausia superba (Antarctic krill). RNAcentral's name for it is "tRNA-Phe". The record is from RNAcentral. Lineage: Eukaryota; Metazoa; Arthropoda; Malacostraca; Euphausiacea; Euphausiidae.
AUUUAUAUAGCUUAUAUAAAAGAGCAUAACACUGAAGAUGUUAGGGAGGUUGAUUUAAUCUAUAGAUA